This 711-nucleotide long non-coding RNA is filed under the name Mus musculus (house mouse). RNAcentral's name for it is "RIKEN cDNA 2210408F21 gene". Lineage: Eukaryota; Metazoa; Chordata; Mammalia; Rodentia; Muridae. The record is from RNAcentral.
GUGUCAUGCAAGAAGGAGGCGGCGGCGGCGGCCGGAGCUGGAGGGGGAGGAGGGGAGGAACCUGAUCCUCGGUAGCGAAGGGCUGGAGGCAAACACCGAGCUCCCCCUGAGCCGCCUGGGAGCAGGGAGGGUUCUGCUACCCUGAGGGGCCCUCCCCGCGGGGCAGAGGGGUUUCCUCAGCAGUGCCCCGGAGCAGGGACCGCGCCAGCCAGCAGAAACAGCUAGUUGUUGUCUGCAGUGAAGAAUAAUUGGAAGCAUGGUGCCUGUUUCUUUUCCUGUGGGAGGAAGUCACAGCAUCUACUUCUGAAUCUGUGCUUGCCUUGAGGAAAAACGGCAUGGCACAGGAAUGUGGACGCUUUCAACCAGAGGAUUCUGUACGACGGUGUCGGCACACACUCAUCCUCGUCUACGGCCAAACGUUGGUUUCUCAUUUCUAGAAGAUGAAAGAUGUGAUGACUCAGGAAAAAAGGCUUCACCCAUUCUUUGUUUUGUGCAGCUGGAAUCUUAGUAACUGUGGUGGGCAUUGAGCCUUGCCGUCCACAAGAGAAAGCUUGCUGCUCGAGAUGUGAGUCUUCAGAUGUUCCUGCCGCCAUAUCUGACAGCUGCUGCCAAGAUUCCCUGGUGGGAUGGACUCUUAUACCUCAACAACCAGAAGCCCAAGUAAACUCUUCUAUAAAUUGAAUGACUCAUGCUUAAAAAAAAAAACAAAAA